GUCCNGCUAACUUUCGUGCCCAGCAGCCGCGGUAAUACGAAAGGGACCUAGCGUANUCGGAAAUUACUGGGCUUAAAGAGUUCGUAGGUGGUUGAAAAAGUUAGUGGUGAAAUCCCAGAGCUUAAACCCUGGAACUGCCAUUAAAACUUUUUAGCUAGAGUAUGAUAGAGGAAAGCAGAAUUUCUAGUGUAGAGGUGAAAUUCGUAGAUAUUAGAAAGAAUACCAAUUGCGAAGGCAGCUUUCUGGAUCAUUACUGACGCUGAGGAACGAAAGCAUGGGUAGCGAAGAGGAUUAGAUACCCUCGUAGUCCAUGCCGUAAACGAUGUGUGUUAGACGUUGGAAAUUUAUUUUCAGUGUCGCAGGGAAACCGAUAAACACACCGCCUGGGGAGUACGACCGCAAGGUUAAAACUCAAAUGAAUUGACGGGGACCCGCACAAGUAGUGGAGCAUGUGGUUUAAUUCGAAGAUACGCGCAGAACCUUACCAACACUUGACAUGUUCGUCGCGACUCUAAGAGAUUAGAGUUUUCGGUUCGGCCGGACGAAACACAGGUGCUGCAUGGCUGUCGUCAGCUCGUGUCGUGAGAUGUUGGGUUAAGUCCCGCAACGAGCGCAACCCUCACUUUUAGUUGCCAUCAUUAAGUUGGGCACUCUGAAAGAACUGCCAGUGAUAAGCUGGAGGAAGGUGGGGAUGACGUCAAGUCCUCAUGGCCCUUACGUGUUGGGCUACACACGUGCUACAAUGGUAUCUACAACAGGAAGCAAGACUGCGAAGUUAAGCAAAUCCCUAAAAGAUACCCCAGUUCGGAUUGCACUCUGCAACUCGAGUGCAUGAAGCUGGAAUUACUAGUAAUCGUGGAUCAGCGUGCCACGGUGAAUGCGUUCCCGGGUCUUGUACACACCGCCCGUCACACCAUGGGAGUUGGUUCUACCUUAAGGCAAGGUUUCAAACCCUUGACCACGGUAUAGUCAGCGACUGGGGUGAAGUCGUAACAAGGUAGCCGUA
This 1006-nucleotide ribosomal RNA is filed under the name uncultured bacterium. RNAcentral describes it as "bacterial SSU rRNA". It matches the Rfam family "Bacterial small subunit ribosomal RNA", at positions 491 to 1504 of the family's 1533-position model. The record is from RNAcentral.